UACGGAGGGCGCAAGCGGUGUUCGGAAUCACUGGGCGUAAAGCGCGUGUAGGCGGCUUGGUAAGUCGGGUGUGAAAGCCCGGGGCCUAACCCCGGAACUGCACUCGAAACUGCCUCGCUCGAGUCCCGGAGAGGAUGGUGGAAUUCCCGGUGUAGUGGUGAAAUACGUAGAUAUCGGGAGGAACACCAGCGGCGAAGGCGGCCAUCUGGACGGUGACUGACGCUGAGACGCGAAAGCGUGGGGAGCAAACAGG
Molecule: ribosomal RNA, 253 nt
Filed under: uncultured bacterium
Lineage: Bacteria
Description: partial 16S ribosomal RNA
Rfam family: Bacterial small subunit ribosomal RNA
Source: RNAcentral